Prunus avium (sweet cherry) is the source of this 878-nucleotide non-coding RNA. The record is from RefSeq and is a predicted model, not a curated record. NCBI's taxonomy places the organism in Eukaryota, Viridiplantae, Streptophyta, Magnoliopsida, Rosales, Rosaceae.
GGUUUGCUCUUCUCUUCUAUGUGAUGAGCAGAUAUUGCUAAGGGUUGCAUGAAGGAAAAGUUCUUUGGGCUUGCAUCGUGAUAACUGUUUUUUGGGUCUACAUUAGUUAAAACUUAAACCAUAUAGAACACCUUUGUAGUUAUAUUUAGCUAAUUUCAUUUCCAGUAGUGAAAGUUUACUCCUAUUUAUCUCAUCUAGUUCAUGAUGUUCUUGAAGAAAGAUAUGAUUUAUUGGCUUUGAGCAUCAGACCAUGUUACUUAUGUCGAUACUUUGUUCUUCUAAUUGAUACAGAUUCUGUUGGGGAAUAUAUUGCUUAGGGAGCAUCAUCAGUUGUUUUAUAAGAUGCCAUAUUUGAUAAAGAAGCAAUGGGUCCAAAAAAAAAGGUAUCAACUUGCACAUGCCGCAGCUUUCCAUGGCAAUGAAGCUGUAGUCCGGUGUUUGGAAUUUGGAUUCAAGCGGGUGUGUCCUAGGAGCUACUUUUUGUUGUUGACAAAGGGCUAUUUGUUAGGAGCCAGAAAAAGCUGGUUACUCUUGGAGGUGGGCGGUUUUGACUAUUACGUUGUGUGUUAGAUUUGGAUGGACUACAGUGGUUAUUUAGGGAAACAAGGAAGAAUUGAAGUUACUCUGGGCUAGGAUUAAGCUUUUAGCUUCUUCUUGGACUUCUUUGCCGAAGAAUUUUAAUGGCCUUCCUUUCUUUUUGUGUAUUGAGUAUAUUAAGUGUUAAAGCCAAAUCGAGAUUUCCAUCAAUAUUAACAGUCUCUUAUCCAAAUUGGACUUAGUUGCAAGCCACAAUUAACUACAGGGAUACGACUGAAUUGAAUUGAAAUUAUGGGGACCAAAAUGGAGAAUGGCCCAAAGUACAUGUUGCAUAUGACCUC